CGGGACGAUCAGACGACCGAGGCCGAGUGUGGUAAAGGCAAACGUUGACUGCACCAUGAGACGUCCAGAGAAGAUAUUUAGCAUUCAAAACGCAACAAGGAGAAACUAGUUUUAAGCCUUUAAAUUGUGUAUCAGCUGCAGCAGUAGAAAUGGCCGAGGAGAGGAAGCGAUCAAUAUCCAUGAGGGAGCCGCCCUACUUUGGUGUUGAAAAGAUACAAAGUUCAAUGUCGAGGGAGCUGAAUCGGAGUACAGAAAACAAAAGCUUGAAUGAGCACCUGACUGAUUAUCACCCUGCUCUCCAUGAUCGGAAAGAUUUCGCCAAAGCCAGUGUUAUCGUGAUCCUGGAUGAAAGCAGAACAAGCCGGCAACGUCUGUCAGUGAAGUAACAUCUGUGGGUAAAAAACCAAGAGAGACUUCUGCAGACACAUACAGAAUUUCUUCUGAAACUCGGCAAGCUUGCAUUUGUUCAUCUGCAGAAGAACAACCUCAUCUUCUAUGAUGAAGACCUGGAAGACUGUGGCAUUGACAUUCGAGAGGCAUCCGUCUACUCUGGAUUAUGCAGCACAGUUUUUAGGGAAGAAGAAGUCUUUUCCCAGAAAAAGAUUUUCUUCUUUGUGCACCUGACCAUACAGGAGUUCUUUGCUGCUCUUUUUGUCUAUGACUGUUUCACAAACAAGAAUACAAAAGAUCUCGGCAACUUCCUCAAUGUGAAGGACAAAGAACAUACCUUACUUGAUCUUCUGAAGUCGCAGUGAAACAACUUGGGAAAAUGUGGGAGUUCUUUUAAGAGAGGGAUUUAAAUCAAAACGUACAAAUUUGGAUUGCUCAAACGAAAAAAUCCAUACAAAGUAUGUAAGCUGUAAAGAAGGUUUGCACCAUGAAGCUGUUAUGAGUGUGUGUGUGUGUGUUAGUGAAAGAGAGGAAGUGAACACAAACACAUUAGCUUGGGUUUCAAACAUGUCUCUACCGUAGACUGUCGCGAAAUUACGAAUCCUACUGUGGCCACGACAAGACCCGCCCUUCAAUAGCAGCUCGAUUGGUUGGGUUUGGGACCUGAACAAAUCAGGUUAUGUUACCUUGCGUAAUCUUGCGUAAACGUGGACGCAUGGCCAAUAAUAGUGAUUGAAGGGCGGGUCUUGGUGUGGCCAUAGUAGGAUUCGAAAUUCGCCGCUCAGCGGUAUGGAGCUCGUAGCCAGUCACAUUAGGAGACCAGCUGGCGGUCUCCUAAUUUCGUAGGCUAUCUUAUGUUUUGGUGUGCAUACAUUUCCGUACGAUAUCAUAAGGACACGUUUGUGAGAAUGAGUUGACAUUCCUCAUUCCAUUCCGAUAUAGAUGUGACAGAAAAUACAGAAAAGCUUAAUAGGUCUGCUGUAAAACAAUAUUGUGACACAAGCAUCAGAUUUCAAUAUUACAUUUGAUUAUGAUGUUAAUAAAAGUUCUUAUAAUCUUUGUAUUUUUAGUUUUAACUGCUGUUUUGUUUGGGUUUAUCGGCAUCACUUUGUUACAUUUCAUAUCUUGUAUUAAAAUCUGAGUUUAAUCAUGUUAAGCACCUUAUUGUAAAAUCCCAAAAUACUGAACUGAGUCGCUGUGAUGACUGAAUGUUUUGUGGCUGAAAAAUCCAGGCUAACUUAAAUACAGAUUUGGGAUAUUUCAGAUGUGUUAAAACUUAUACAUGUCAAGCACUCAUAUACCGUUAAUUCAUAUUUGGUCUUCAAUGUUACAUGUGAAAAGUUAAUUUGCAAAAGAAAGAUAAAUGCCAUUCUUUAUCAAAACAACCCAACUCCAGUUUGAUAUUUCCUGGAGUGGACACAUGAAAAGAUGAUUUAGGAAGAUUUAUAAAAAUGAAUUCUUCAUGUAUUUAACCCUAAUGUUGACAUGUUUCUGAUUGUUUCUCAGUGUUACAUGUAACCUGUCAAUAAAAGGAAGGUGUUGACUGAA
Molecule: long non-coding RNA, 1938 nt
Organism: Perca flavescens (yellow perch)
Lineage: Eukaryota; Metazoa; Chordata; Actinopteri; Perciformes; Percidae
Exons: 3
Source: RefSeq, a predicted model, not a curated record